ACUAAAGUGGCAGAGUAGUGCAAGGAAUUUAAGCUUCCUAAAUGAUUUAGAUCCUUUAGAA
This 61-nucleotide transfer RNA is filed under the name Alectorobius capensis. Its description in RNAcentral is "tRNA-Leu". The record is from RNAcentral. Lineage: Eukaryota; Metazoa; Arthropoda; Arachnida; Ixodida; Argasidae.